AUAGCGCGCGGCCCAGGCGCUGCUGCUGCAGCAGGAGCUGGCCCGGGGGCUCCCCGGCGCCGCCGUUUACAGGCGAGCGCAGGCCCAUGUUCUCGAAGUAGUGAGCCAGGAAGGCGAUCGGCUCCUCGGGCCGCGCCUCCAGCACCUUCAGCAGGGCCGCACGUAGCAUUUCCGUCACGCCGACCUGCCGCAGGAAGUCCUCCUCGCUCUCGGCCGCCCCCGCCGCCCGGGAUACCGACUGGCGGCCGCUGUCCGUGAAACCGGCCGGCGGUGGUACCGCUUGCCGCCGCUUCUCCACUGCCGCCAUCUUCGCUGAGGGCAGCGGGACCGGAAGCACCGCCAUAUUCCACUGUGCGCUAGAGCCCCCCCAAGGCGGCCAUCUUGAUUAAGGGCAGAGGGCACCGGUAUCCCGCUGGGAGACUUUGGGAAGUGACAAGGGCUUGCCUCUCCUGCCUCAAUCUCCGCAUCUGGAUGAAGGGCUUGGACCAGAACCCCUCCAAGCCCCUUCCCUGGACCACUCUGCUGGAGUUUCACUCUUGUCGCCCAGGCUGGAGUACAGUGGUGCUAUCUCGGCUCACUGCAACCUCCACCUCACGGGUUCAAGUGAUUCUACUGUGACGGCCUUCCAAGUAGGUGGGACCACAGGCAUGCGCCACCACGCCCGGCUAAUUUUUGUAUUUUUAGUAGAGACGAGGUUUUGCCAUGUUGGCCAGGCUGGUCUCAAACUCCUGACCUCAGGUGAUCCACCUGCCUCGGCCUCCCACAGUGCUGGGAUUACAGGCGUGAGCCAACGCGCCCGGCCUUGUUUUAUGUUUCAUACGAUUUAUUUU
This 830-nucleotide long non-coding RNA is filed under the name Homo sapiens (human). RNAcentral's name for it is "non-protein coding lnc-ODF3L2-2:1". The record is from RNAcentral. Lineage: Eukaryota; Metazoa; Chordata; Mammalia; Primates; Hominidae.